AGCUCAGCGGUUAGAGCAGCGGACUCAUAAUCUGCUAAGGGCUGAAUCGCACUGAAACCCACUGAGCGCCA
Molecule: transfer RNA, 71 nt
Filed under: Acidobacteriota bacterium
Lineage: Bacteria; Pseudomonadati; Acidobacteriota
Also listed under: 1 other name
Description: Acidobacteria bacterium tRNA-Met
Source: RNAcentral